GGGAGCUUGCUCCCUUAGGUCAGCGGCGGACGGGUGAGUAACACGUGGGUAACCUGCCUGUAAGACUGGGAUAACUCCGGGAAACCGGGGCUAAUACCGGAUGCUUGAUUGAACCGCAUGGUUCAAUCAUAAAAGGUGGCUUUUAGCUACCACUUGCAGAUGGACCCGCGGCGCAUUAGCUAGUUGGUGAGGUAACGGCUCACCAAGGCGACGAUGCGUAGCCGACCUGAGAGGGUGAUCGGCCACACUGGGACUGAGACACGGCCCAGACUCCUACGGGAGGCAAGCAGUAGGGGAAUCUUUCGGCAUUGGACGAAAGUCGGACGGAGCAACCCCGCGUGGAGUGAUGAAGGUUUUCGGAUCGUAAAACUCUGUUGUUAGGGAAGAACAAGUACCGUUCGAAUAGGGCGGUACCUUGACGGUACCUAACCAGAAAGCCACGGCUAACUACGUGCCAGCAGCCGCGGUAAUACGUAGGUGGCAAGCGUUGUCCGGAAUUAUUGGGCGUAAAGCGCGCGCAGGCGGUUUCUUAAGUCUGAUGUGAAAGCCCCCGGCUCAACCGGGGAGGGUCAUUGGAAACUGGGGAACUUGAGUGCAGAAGAGGAGAGUGGAAUUCCACGUGUAGCGGUGAAAUGCGUAGAGAUGUGGAGGAACACCAGUGGCGAAGGCGACUCUCUGGUCUGUA
This 685-nucleotide ribosomal RNA is filed under the name uncultured Bacillus sp. Its description in RNAcentral is "bacterial SSU rRNA". It matches the Rfam family "Bacterial small subunit ribosomal RNA", at positions 74 to 738 of the family's 1533-position model. Lineage: Bacteria; Bacillati; Bacillota; Bacilli; Caryophanales; Bacillaceae. The record is from RNAcentral.